AAAUUGAAGAGUUUGAUCAUGGCUCAGAUUGAACGCUGGCGGCAGGCCUAACACAUGCAAGUCGAACGGUAACAGGAAGCAGCUUGCUGCUUCGCUGACGAGUGGCGGACGGGUGAGUAAUGUCUGGGAAACUGCCUGAUGGAGGGGGAUAACUACUGGAAACGGUAGCUAAUACCGCAUAAUGUCGCAAGACCAAAGAGGGGGACCUUCGGGCCUCUUGCCAUCGGAUGUGCCCAGAUGGGAUUAGCUUGUUGGUGGGGUAACGGCUCACCAAGGCGACGAUCCCUAGCUGGUCUGAGAGGAUGACCAGCCACACUGGAACUGAGACACGGUCCAGACUCCUACGGGAGGCAGCAGUGGGGAAUAUUGCACAAUGGGCGCAAGCCUGAUGCAGCCAUGCCGCGUGUAUGAAGAAGGCCUUCGGGUUGUAAAGUACUUUCAGCGGGGAGGAAGGGAGUAAAGUUAAUACCUUUGCUCAUUGACGUUACCCGCAGAAGAAGCACCGGCUAACUCCGUGCCAGCAGCCGCGGUAAUACGGAGGGUGCAAGCGUUAAUCGGAAUUACUGGGCGUAAAGCGCACGCAGGCGGUUUGUUAAGUCAGAUGUGAAAUCCCCGGGCUCAACCUGGGAACUGCAUCUGAUACUGGCAAGCUUGAGUCUCGUAGAGGGGGGUAGAAUUCCAGGUGUAGCGGUGAAAUGCGUAGAGAUCUGGAGGAAUACCGGUGGCGAAGGCGGCCCCCUGGACGAAGACUGACGCUCAGGUGCGAAAGCGUGGGGAGCAAACAGGAUUAGAUACCCUGGUAGUCCACGCCGUAAACGAUGUCGACUUGGAGGUUGUGCCCUUGAGGCGUGGCUUCCGGAGCUAACGCGUUAAGUCGACCGCCUGGGGAGUACGGCCGCAAGGUUAAAACUCAAAUGAAUUGACGGGGGCCCGCACAAGCGGUGGAGCAUGUGGUUUAAUUCGAUGCAACGCGAAGAACCUUACCUGGUCUUGACAUCCACGGAAGUUUUCAGAGAUGAGAAUGUGCCUUCGGGAACCGUGAGGCAGGUGCUGCAUGGCUGUCGUCAGCUCGUGUUGUGAAAUGUUGGGUUAAGUCCCGCAACGAGCGCAACCCUUAUCCUUUGUUGCCAGCGGUCCGGCCGGGAACUCAAAGGAGACUGCCAGUGAUAAACUGGAGGAAGGUGGGGAUGACGUCAAGUCAUCAUGGCCCUUACGACCAGGGCUACACACGUGCUACAAUGGCGCAUACAAAGAGAAGCGACCUCGCGAGAGCAAGCGGACCUCAUAAAGUGCGUCGUAGUCCGGAUUGGAGUCUGCAACUCGACUCCAUGAAGUCGGAAUCGCUAGUAAUCGUGGAUCAGAAUGCCACGGUGAAUACGUUCCCGGGCCUUGUACACACCGCCCGUCACACCAUGGGAGUGGGUUGCAAAAGAAGUAGGUAGCUUAACCUUCGGGAGGGCGCUUACCACUUUGUGAUUCAUGACUGGGGUGAAGUCGUAACAAGGUAACCGUAGGGGAACCUGCGGUUGGAUCACCUCCUUA
Molecule: ribosomal RNA, 1542 nt
Filed under: Escherichia coli
Lineage: Bacteria; Pseudomonadati; Pseudomonadota; Gammaproteobacteria; Enterobacterales; Enterobacteriaceae
Description: bacterial SSU rRNA
Rfam family: Bacterial small subunit ribosomal RNA
Source: RNAcentral